UAAUACGUAGGGUCCGAGCGUUGUCCGGAAUUAUUGGGCGUAAAGGGCUCGUAGGCGGUUUGUCACGUCGGGAGUGAAAACUCAGGGCUCAACCCUGAGCGUGCUUCCGAUACGGGCAGACUAGAGGUAUGCAGGGGAGAACGGAAUUCCUGGUGUAGCGGUGGAAUGCGCAGAUAUCAGGAGGAACACCGGUGGCGAAGGCGGUUCUCUGGGCAUUACCUGACGCUGAGGAGCGAAAGCAUGGGGAGCGAACAGGAUUAGAUACCCUGGUAGUCCAUGCCGUAAACGUUGGGCGCUAGGUGUGGGGACCUUCCACGGUCUCCGUGCCGCAGCUAACGCAUUAAGCGCCCCGCCUGGGGAGUACGGCCGCAAGGCUA
RNAcentral lists this ribosomal RNA (377 nucleotides) under uncultured bacterium. RNAcentral describes it as "bacterial SSU rRNA". It matches the Rfam family "Bacterial small subunit ribosomal RNA", at positions 521 to 896 of the family's 1533-position model. The record is from RNAcentral.